GACGAGGUUGUCGAAUGGUUAAGACGAUGGACUGCUAAUUCACUGGGCCCGGCGCGCGUGGGUUCGAAUUCCAUCCCCGUCG
Non-coding RNA from Paramuricea clavata, 82 nucleotides. NCBI's taxonomy places the organism in Eukaryota, Metazoa, Cnidaria, Anthozoa, Malacalcyonacea, Plexauridae. The record is from the annotation of a GenBank genome assembly.